RNAcentral lists this ribosomal RNA (305 nucleotides) under uncultured bacterium. Its description in RNAcentral is "partial 16S ribosomal RNA". It matches the Rfam family "Bacterial small subunit ribosomal RNA", at positions 506 to 807 of the family's 1533-position model. The record is from RNAcentral.
ACAGCAGUAGCCGCGGGAAAACGUAGGUGGCAAGCGUUGUCCGGAAUUAUUGGGCGUAAAGGGCUCGCAGGCGGUUUCUUAAGUCUGAUGUGAAAGCCCCCGGCUCAACCGGGGAGGGUCAUUGGAAACUGGGAAACUUGAGUGCAGAAGAGGAGAGUGGAAUUCCACGUGUAGCGGUGAAAUGCGUAGAGAUGUGGAGGAACACCAGUGGCGAAGGCGACUCUCAGGUCUGUAACUGACGCUGAGGAGCGAAAGCGUGGGGAGCGAACAGGAUUAGAUACCCCUGUAGUCCCUGUCUCUUAUAC